UAUAAUACAUCUUUCAUAGUGGUCAGUAUCCCCGCCUGUCACGCGGGUGACCGGGGUUCAAUUCCCCGCCGGGGAGAG
This 78-nucleotide transfer RNA is filed under the name Acropora cervicornis. RNAcentral's name for it is "tRNA-Asp". The record is from RNAcentral. Lineage: Eukaryota; Metazoa; Cnidaria; Anthozoa; Scleractinia; Acroporidae.